UAGGGAGCGAGCGUUGUCCGGAAUUACUGGGUGUAAAGGGAGCGUAGGCGGGAUUGCAAGUUGGAUGUGAAAACUGCGGGCUCAACCCGGAGAGUGCAUUCAAAACUGCGAUUCUUGAGUGAAGUAGAGGCAAGCGGAAUUCCUAGUGUAGCGGUGAAAUGCGUAGAUAUUAGGAGGAACACCAGUGGCGAAGGCGGCUUGCUGGGCUUUUACUGACGCUGAGGCUCGAAAGUGUGGGGAGCAAA
RNAcentral lists this ribosomal RNA (245 nucleotides) under uncultured bacterium. RNAcentral's name for it is "partial 16S ribosomal RNA". It matches the Rfam family "Bacterial small subunit ribosomal RNA", at positions 528 to 772 of the family's 1533-position model. The record is from RNAcentral.